RNAcentral lists this ribosomal RNA (1332 nucleotides) under uncultured bacterium. Its description in RNAcentral is "bacterial SSU rRNA". It matches the Rfam family "Bacterial small subunit ribosomal RNA", at positions 28 to 1381 of the family's 1533-position model. The record is from RNAcentral.
GACGAACGCUGGCGGCGCGCCUAACACAUGCAAGUCGAACGAGAGAUGAGGAGCUUGCUCUUCAAAUCGAGUGGCGAACGGGUGAGUAACGCGUGAGGAACCUGCCUCAAAGAGGGGGACAACAGUUGGAAACGACUGCUAAUACCGCAUAAGCCCACGGCUCGGCAUCGAGCGGAGGGAAAAGGAGCAAUCCGCUUUGAGAUGGCCUCGCGUCCGAUUAGCUAGUUGGUGAGGUAACGGCCCACCAAGGCGACGAUCGGUAGCCGGACUGAGAGGUUGAACGGCCACAUUGGGACUGAGACACGGCCCAGACUCCUACGGGAGGCAGCAGUGGGGAAUAUUGCACAAUGGGGGAAACCCUGAUGCAGCGACGCCGCGUGGAGGAAGAAGGUCUUCGGAUUGUAAACUCCUGUUGUUGAGGAAGAUAAUGACGGUACUCAACAAGGAAGUGACGGCUAACUACGUGCCAGCAGCCGCGGUAAAACGUAGGUCACAAGCGUUGUCCGGAAUUACUGGGUGUAAAGGGAGCGCAGGCGGGAGAACAAGUUGGAAGUGAAAUCCAUGGGCUCAACCCAUGAACUGCUUUCAAAACUGUUUUUCUUGAGUAGUGCAGAGGUAGGCGGAAUUCCCGGUGUAGCGGUGGAAUGCGUAGAUAUCGGGAGGAACACCAGUGGCGAAGGCGGCCUACUGGGCACCAACUGACGCUGAGGCUCGAAAGUGUGGGUAGCAAACAGGAUUAGAUACCCUGGUAGUCCACACCGUAAACGAUGAUUACUAGGUGUUGGAGGAUUGACCCCUUCAGUGCCGCAGUUAACACAAUAAGUAAUCCACCUGGGGAGUACGACCGCAAGGUUGAAACUCAAAGGAAUUGACGGGGGCCCGCACAAGCAGUGGAGUAUGUGGUUUAAUUCGACGCAACGCGAAGAACCUUACCAAGUCUUGACAUCCUGCGACGCACAUAGAAAUAUGUGUUUCCUUCGGGACGCAGAGACAGGUGGUGCAUGGUUGUCGUCAGCUCGUGUCGUGAGAUGUUGGGUUAAGUCCCGCAACGAGCGCAACCCUUAUGGUCAGUUACUACGCAAGAGGACUCUGGCCAGACUGCCGUUGACAAAACGGAGGAAGGUGGGGAUGACGUCAAAUCAUCAUGCCCUUUAUGACUUGGGCUACACACGUACUACAAUGGCGUUAAACAAAGAGAAGCAAGACCGCGAGGUGGAGCAAAACUCAGAAACAACGUCCCAGUUCGGACUGCAGGCUGCAACUCGCCUGCACGAAGUCGGAAUUGCUAGUAAUCGUGGAUCAGCAUGCCACGGUGAAUACGUUCCCGGGCCU